RNAcentral lists this RNase P RNA (334 nucleotides) under Alphaproteobacteria bacterium TMED93. RNAcentral describes it as "RNase P RNA component class A". It matches the Rfam family "Bacterial RNase P class A". Rfam says of the family: Ribonuclease P (RNase P) is a ubiquitous endoribonuclease, found in archaea, bacteria and eukarya as well as chloroplasts and mitochondria. Its best characterised activity is the generation of mature 5'-ends of tRNAs by cleaving the 5'-leader elements of precursor-tRNAs. Cellular RNase Ps are ribonucleoproteins. The record is from RNAcentral. Lineage: Bacteria; Pseudomonadati; Pseudomonadota; Alphaproteobacteria.
UGAGACAGUCAAGCAGUUGCUCUUAAUUAUUUAAGAGAGGAAAGUCCGGUCUCCAGGAGCGACAGUGCCGGGUAACNCCCGGCAGAGGUAACUCUAGGGAAAGUGCCACAGAAAAUNUACCGCCAUAUUUAUAUGGUAAGGGUGAAAAGGUGUGGUAAGAGCGCACCGUGCUUAUGGUAACAUAAGUAGCAGGGUAAACCCCACUGGGAGCAAAACCAAAUAGAGACACAUGGCUCCAGGUUGUGUCUGGGUAGGUUGCUUGAAACAAGUAGUAAUACUAGUUCUAGAUGGAUAACUGCAUAAACAGAAACCGGCUUACAGACUGUCUUAGAAC